Nicotiana tabacum (common tobacco) is the source of this 531-nucleotide non-coding RNA. The record is from RefSeq and is a predicted model, not a curated record. Lineage: Eukaryota; Viridiplantae; Streptophyta; Magnoliopsida; Solanales; Solanaceae.
UGGUGCUGAGAUCGUUGGCACUUUCGUUCUUGUUUACACUGUUUUCUCUGCUACUGAUGCUAAGCGUAGUGCUAGGGAUUCACAUGUCCCUCUUUUGGCACCAUUGCCUAUUGGAUUUGCUGUGUUCCUGGUACACUUGGCCACAAUUCCAAUCACUGGAACUGGUAUUAACCCAGCUAGGAGUCUUGGCGCAGCCAUCAUCUACAACCAAGACCACGCAUGGGAUGACCACUGGAUAUUCUGGGUUGGACCAUUUAUUGGAGCAGCACUAGCAGCUCUAUACCACCAGGUGGUGAUCAGGGCAAUCCCAUUUAAGCCCAAGUAAAAUCUCUUUUAACCACAGAUUUCUCAAGCUUAAUCGUCAUCUGGCAAAAGAUCAAAAGCCUCAUUUCUGCCCAUUUCCCCUUUGCAUUAGAUCCUCUUUUCUUUUUGUUUUGUUUUUUGUAUCUAUGUAUUUGUAAGUUUCGUAAGUGGGAGAAUGUAUCUGAUGGGGGCAUAUUUUCUAUAAAAGGACCUUCGCUUUUCAUUUCA